Non-coding RNA from Ciona intestinalis (vase tunicate), 1929 nucleotides. The record is from RefSeq and is a predicted model, not a curated record. Lineage: Eukaryota; Metazoa; Chordata; Ascidiacea; Phlebobranchia; Cionidae.
UGUGAAAAGAGAGGUCUGCAGAUUCAUGCUGUAGUUGCAGAUGGACUGUCGCUUAAUCGCAGGUUUUUUAAACUGAUAAGUGCAGUACUGUGGACAGACAUUGUUAAAUUAUAUGAAGUGGAUGCAAUGUCACCAAUCCUAAAUUCUUCAGGACUAACUGUGGAUCACAUUAAACUUACACCAUACAGUAAAAUGAAAGUUAACUUAGCUAAGGAUGUUUUGAGUUGGCGUGUUGGACAGUGUUUAAGUGUUAUUCCAGCAGCAAAAGGAACAUCUGACUUUGUUUUGAUGUUUUCAAAAUGGUCUGAAAUAAUUAAUUGCAGUACAAGUUCCCCCAUUCGCAACUGUUUAGACACAAGGUUGGAGUGGUUUCAUAAAAAAGUUGCCAAAAUCGAAGGUUGCUUACUUGUUCUAUUUAUUUGUUACGUAUUUCCAAAGUAUUCUUUUUAUCUAAUUUAGAAAACUUUACAACCAUUUCAGAAUGAUGUUGAAGUGAACCACCCAGGAGGAGACAAACGAUUAUUGACCCGACCAACUCUGGAGGGGUUGUUGUUUACCACAAACAAUUUUAUCGAAUUAUCUCGCAGGCUGUUACAAUUACCUUGUUUACAUGACGGUUUAAGUCGGAUUCGAAUCCGACUGGUCGAUCCGCUAUUCUCGUUUUCGGCGAAAAGAAAAAGGCGAGUCGGAUUGAAGCUGACCGAUCCUCAAUCCGCUCAGACUAGUGGUUUACGGGUCGGAUUUAGCGAUCCAGUUGGAUUAAACAGUCGGAAAUGUUGAUGUUUAGGACUUGUUAUACAGUUAACGUAUUGUUUUUGCAGGGAAUAUGGUAGUAGCAGAGUGCGUGUACAUCUGGCAACAAAUUCCCAUGAAUUAACAUGACAAAUUAAUUAAAUUUUACCCGACAAAUGCAGAUUUCGCUCUUUGAAAUAGGUAAAAAACAGCUUUUUAUAGUCUACAAGCAAAAUUUGUGCUACUGAAAAAUUUUUCAACCACAUGCGUAUUGCCUAAUCUGUAACGAUACCUGAUUAUGGUACCACAAAAUUGUGGGGAUCAUUCUUCACUGGUACUGCAAAUUUGAAUACCUUAUUCUUAUAGAGGGCAUAGACCACCAUAACAUAGCAUGUUGACCAGCAUUAUUUGCAAGGGCAAUUGCUUGUACAUGUACCAGUCAAAUAACACAAUCAUCAGGAACCACCAACACCACGAGAAAAAUAUCUUGUGAAAUAGAAGAAUGAAGUUUUACUGAUGAUGGUUUAACAAGCUAAUAUGUUUAUAUUUUAUUAUGAUCGAUUAUGACACAAACACUUGCUGCUUCAUUUAAAAAUGCCAGAGUUUUAUUGCAACUUCCUUCGAAAAUCGUAAAAGUCAUUCUGACUUCUUUGUCAAAGUGUAUUUGGUUGUCUGUAUGAAGUAUGUGGUAUGAUACCCAAACUUUUAUGUCUGAAACUUCUGUUUUGUGCAGAUUAAACAUGUGGAUUUACUGUUUUUGUAUAUUUUGCUUUUGUUAUUAACUUAUUGUUGCACAGUACCUACUACCAAUAAAUUAAUUUAUUGUUGCAGUACCUACUACCAAUAAAUUAAACAAAUAAAACCAUUCAUUUGACACAUGUCAUACUUGUUAAAAGCAUAGGACAAAACUUAGCACACUUUUGUGGAAUGCUGAAUUAAUAGCAACAACCCAUCUGAAGUGUUUGCAGCACAUAAAUAACGGUAUUUGGAAUUUUAGAUGAACCAGUUAAGUAGAUUAAAAUAAUGUAUAAAUGCACUUUAAGGCUUCUGUUUGUUAUAAUUCAAGCUAUACUGAUAACUUAUUGCGGUAAUAAAGUUUAUUAAAACUGGCGACUACAAACGCUUCGGUCCCCAUUUCAGUUUCAAUCCGAUUGAAACGCGCCAUGUAAAUACGACGUUUUAGCGGAUCGGAUUUGA